This 274-nucleotide ribosomal RNA is filed under the name uncultured bacterium. Its description in RNAcentral is "partial 16S ribosomal RNA". It matches the Rfam family "Bacterial small subunit ribosomal RNA", at positions 523 to 796 of the family's 1533-position model. The record is from RNAcentral.
AUACAGAGGGUGCGAGCGUUAAUCGGAUUUACUGGGCGUAAAGCGUGCGUAGGCGGCUUUUUAAGUCGGAUGUGAAAUCCCUGAGCUUAACUUAGGAAUUGCAUUCGAUACUGGGAAGCUAGAGUAUGGGAGAGGAUGGUAGAAUUCCAGGUGUAGCGGUGAAAUGCGUAGAGAUCUGGAGGAAUACCGGUGGCGAAGGCAGCCAUCUGGCCUAAUACUGACGCUGAGGUACGAAAGCAUGGGGAGCAAACAGGAUUAGAAACCCCAGUAGUCC